Non-coding RNA from Odocoileus virginianus texanus, 487 nucleotides. The record is from RefSeq and is a predicted model, not a curated record. Lineage: Eukaryota; Metazoa; Chordata; Mammalia; Artiodactyla; Cervidae.
AAGUGCUAUUCUAUAUUCAGCGCCUUGUGGGUGCUGAAUAAAUAUUGAUUAAACAAACCAAGUGAUGAAUCAUGUCUGCUGCAGUGUGGGUGCUUGGUAACGUGGAAACACAGAAGUGAGCUGAAUUCUUCCAGCCGUAAGGCACAACGAGAAAGGACAUGUGGACGGAGAGUGGGGAGCUUGGGGCUGCUUCCCCUCCUUUCAUUCUGAGCCGCCACCUGGGAAGCCCAGAGAAUCCUUACCCAUCACUCAAGAAUGGGCCUGGGAAAUGACACCCUAGCCAGACUCUAGCUACUCAUGAACCUCUACCCUGUCAUGCAGAGAUUUGGAGAGACAGGUAUAAAGAGAUACUGCUCGUUCCCUGCCGAAAUAUGGAGACUGAGGAAGGAUCUUUCAAAAACUAUGAAAAAAACAGCAAGAUGCUAUAAAAAUAACAACUCAGGAGGUCUACCUAGGUUUUGGGAAAGACCCUGAUGCUGGGAAAGAU